GAUCAUGGCUCAGACGAACGCUGGCGGCAGGCCUAACACAUGCAAGUCGAACGCUCGUAGCAAUACGGGAGUGGCAGACGGGUGCGUAACGCGUGGGAACACACCCUUUGGUUCGGAAUAACUCAGGGAAACUUGAGCUAAUACCGGAUACGCCCGAGAGGGGAAAGAUUUAUUGCCGAAGGAUUGGCCCGCGUCUGAUUAGCUAGUUGGUAGGGUAACGGCCUACCAAGGCGACGAUCAGUAGCUGGUCUGAGAGGAUGAUCAGCCACACUGGGACUGAGACACGGCCCAGACUCCUACGGGAGGCAGCAGUGGGGAAUAUUGGACAAUGGGCGCAAGCCUGAUCCAGCCAUGCCGCGUGAGUGAUGACGGCCUUAGGGUUGUAAAGCUCUUUUACCUGGGAAGAUAAUGACGGUACCAGGAGAAUAAGCCCCGGCUAACUUCGUG
Molecule: ribosomal RNA, 447 nt
Filed under: uncultured bacterium
Lineage: Bacteria
Description: bacterial SSU rRNA
Rfam family: Bacterial small subunit ribosomal RNA
Source: RNAcentral